Molecule: ribosomal RNA, 119 nt
Organism: Dendrobium catenatum
Lineage: Eukaryota; Viridiplantae; Streptophyta; Magnoliopsida; Asparagales; Orchidaceae
Source: RefSeq, a predicted model, not a curated record
AGGUGUGACCAUACCAGCACUAGUGCACCAGAUCCCAUCAGAACUUCACAGUUAAGCGUGCUUGGGCGAGAGUAGUAUUGGGAUGGGUGACCUCCUGGUAAGUCCUCGUGUUGCACCCU